Molecule: transfer RNA, 75 nt
Filed under: Rhodothalassium salexigens
Lineage: Bacteria; Pseudomonadati; Pseudomonadota; Alphaproteobacteria; Rhodothalassiales; Rhodothalassiaceae
Also listed under: 1 other name
Description: tRNA-Lys
Rfam family: tRNA
About the family: Transfer RNA (tRNA) molecules are approximately 80 nucleotides in length. Their secondary structure includes four short double-helical elements and three loops (D, anti-codon, and T loops). Further hydrogen bonds mediate the characteristic L-shaped molecular structure. tRNAs have two regions of fundamental functional importance: the anti-codon, which is responsible for specific mRNA codon recognition, and the 3' end, to which the tRNAs corresponding amino acid is attached (by aminoacyl-tRNA synthetases). tRNAs cope with the degeneracy of the genetic code in two manners: having more than one tRNA (with a specific anti-codon) for a particular amino acid; and 'wobble' base-pairing, i.e. permitting non-standard base-pairing at the 3rd anti-codon position.
Source: RNAcentral
GGGCCGUUAGCUCAGUGGUAGAGCAGCUGACUCUUAAUCAGCGGGUCCAGGGUUCGAAUCCCUGACGGCCCUCCA